AUACGGAGGGUGCAAGCGUUAUUCGGAAUCACUGGGCGUAAAGGGUGCGGAGGCGGUUUGAUAAGUCUGAUGUGAAAUCCUAUGGCUCAACCAUAGAACUGCAUUGGAAACUGUCAGACUAGAAUACUGAAGGGGCAGAUGGAAUUAGUGGUGUAGGGGUAAAAUCCGUAGAUAUCACUAGGAAUACCGAAAGCGAAAGCGAUCUGCUGGGAAGUUAUUGACGCUGAGGCACGAAAGCGUGGUGAGCAAACGGGAUUAGAAACCCUAGUAGUCC
This 274-nucleotide ribosomal RNA is filed under the name uncultured bacterium. Its description in RNAcentral is "partial 16S ribosomal RNA". It matches the Rfam family "Bacterial small subunit ribosomal RNA", at positions 523 to 796 of the family's 1533-position model. The record is from RNAcentral.